ACGUAGGUUGCAAGCGUUAUCCGGAAUUAUUGGGCAUAAAGAGCUCGUAGGCGGUUUGUCGCGUCUGUCGUGAAGGUCCGGGGCUCAACGCCGGAUCUGCGGUGGGUACGGGCAGACUAGAGUACUGUAAAGGAGGCUGGAAUUCCUGGUGGAGCGGUGGAAUGCGAAGAUAGCAGGAGGAACACCGAUGGCGAAGGCAGGUCACUGGGCAUUAACGGAGGCUGAGGUGGGAAAGCAUGGGGAUCAAACAG
This 251-nucleotide ribosomal RNA is filed under the name uncultured prokaryote. Its description in RNAcentral is "partial 16S rRNA". It matches the Rfam family "Bacterial small subunit ribosomal RNA", at positions 525 to 775 of the family's 1533-position model. The record is from RNAcentral.